UACGUAGGGUGCGAGCGUUUAAUCGGAAUUACUGGGCGUAAAGCGUGCGCAGGCGGUUGUGCAAGACAGAUGUGAAAUCCCCGGGCUCAACCUGGGAAUUGCAUUUGUGACUGCACGGCUAGAGUGUGUCAGAGGGGGGUAGAAUUCCACGUGUAGCAGUGAAAUGCGUAGAGAUGUGGAGGAAUACCGAUGGCGAAGGCAGCCCCCCUGGGAUAACACUGACGCUCAUGCACGAAAGCGUGGGGAGCAAACAGG
Molecule: ribosomal RNA, 255 nt
Filed under: uncultured bacterium
Lineage: Bacteria
Description: partial 16S ribosomal RNA
Rfam family: Bacterial small subunit ribosomal RNA
Source: RNAcentral